Molecule: unclassified non-coding RNA, 116 nt
Filed under: Epilithonimonas pallida
Lineage: Bacteria; Pseudomonadati; Bacteroidota; Flavobacteriia; Flavobacteriales; Weeksellaceae
Description: Flavo-1 RNA
Source: RNAcentral
ACGCAGCCCGACUUGAGCGGAGCUCAUUUUUGUUAUUGCGAUUGUUGAAACUUUCUGUAGAUUGCUUCACUUCGUUCGCAAUGACAAAAAUAGCGGGAGCGGAAGGCGGAUAAAGC